GACGAACGCUGGCGGCGUGCUUAACACAUGCAAGUCGAACGGAAAGGCCCUGCUUUUGUGGGGUGCUCGAGUGGCGAACGGGUGAGUAACACGUGAGUAACCUGCCCUUGACUUUGGGAUAACUUCAGGAAACUGGGGCUAAUACCGGAUAGGAGCUCCUGCUGCAUGGUGGGGGUUGGAAAGUUUCGGCGGUUGGGGAUGGACUCGCGGCUUAUCAGCUUGUUGGUGGGGUAGUGGCUUACCAAGGCUUUGACGGGUAGCCGGCCUGAGAGGGUGACCGGCCACCUGGGGACUGAGAGACGGACCAGACUCCUACGGGAGGCAGCAGUCGGGAAUAUUGCACAAUGGGCGGAAGCCUGAUGCAGCAACGCCGCGUGCGGGAUGACGGCCUUCGGGUUGUAAACAGCUUUCGCCUGUGACGAAGCGUGAGUGACGGUAAUGGGUAAAGAAGCACCGGCUAACUACGUG
RNAcentral lists this ribosomal RNA (468 nucleotides) under uncultured bacterium. RNAcentral's name for it is "partial 16S ribosomal RNA". It matches the Rfam family "Bacterial small subunit ribosomal RNA", at positions 28 to 507 of the family's 1533-position model. The record is from RNAcentral.